This 268-nucleotide long non-coding RNA is filed under the name Elaeis guineensis (African oil palm). RNAcentral's name for it is "long non-coding RNA (EGUI_LNC014990)". The record is from RNAcentral. Lineage: Eukaryota; Viridiplantae; Streptophyta; Magnoliopsida; Arecales; Arecaceae.
UCCUACUUCUUCUUCGAUCCUCUCCCUUAAAAGAAGGUAUACUUUAAAUAUUUACUUUUAGCUCUUUUUUAAUUUAAAAUAAAAAUAAAUUGAAUGAAUAUCCUUCUAGACCCAUUAUUUUUUACUAUAUAUUAUCUUUAACCAUUUUUAAACCCUUCCAUCUCUCCUUCCCCUUCUUCGAUCUUCUUUUUUUAAAAGAAGAUAUACUUUAAAUAUUUAUUUUUAUUCUUUUUUUAAUUUAAGAUGAUAGUGAAUUGGACGAAUAUCU